RNAcentral lists this ribosomal RNA (1960 nucleotides) under human gut metagenome. RNAcentral describes it as "bacterial LSU rRNA". It matches the Rfam family "Bacterial large subunit ribosomal RNA", at positions 3 to 1980 of the family's 2925-position model. The record is from RNAcentral.
UCAAGCUACUAAGGGCAUACGGUGGAUGCCUUGGCACUAAGAGCCGAUGAAGGACGCGGUAAGCUGCGAAAAGCCACGGGGAACUGCAAGCAAGUCUUGAUCCGUGGAUGUCCGAAUGGGGAAACCCACCAUCCGUCAUGGGAUGGUAUCCUACGGGAGGGGAACCCGGUGAACUGAAACAUCUAAGUAGCCGGAGGAAGAGAAAUCAAACGAGAUGCCCACAGUAGCGGCGAGCGAAGAGGGCAGAGGGCAAACCGGGGAGCUACGGCUCUUCGGGGUUGAGGACUGCAUUUAGUCUUAAUGGUCUAUCCGAACUACCUGGAAAGGUAGGCAACACAGUGUAAAAGCCACGUAGGUUAAAGGCCAGAGAGAUGAGCAGUAUCCAGAGUACCACGAGGCACGAGGAAUCUUGUGGGAAGCCGGGGGGACCACCCUCCAACCCUAAACACUGAAUGGCGACCGAUAGCGCAUAGUACCGUGAGGGAAAGGUGAAAAGAACCCCGGGAGGGGAGUGAAAGAGAACCUGAAACCGUAUGUCUACAAGCAGUCGGAGCGAAAGCGACGGCGUGCCUAUUGAAGAAUGAACCAACGAGUUACGUGCACUAGCGAGGUUAAGUGGAAGACACGGAGCCGAAGCGAAAGCGAGUCUUAAGAGGGCGGAUAGUUAGUGUACGUAGACCCGAAACCGCAGUGAUCUACCCAUGUCCAGGUUGAAGCGCAGGUAAAAUUGCGUGGAGGACCGAACCUGUGAGCGUUGAAAAGCUUUAGGAUGAGAUGUGGGUAGAGGUGAAAUUCCAAUCGAACGCGGAGAUAGCUGGUUCUCCCCGAAAUAGCUUUAGGGCUAGCCUCAAGUAGUAAGUAUAGGCGGUAGAGCACUGAUCGGGCUAGGGGCCAUAAAGGUUACCGAACCCUGUCAAACUCCGAAUGGUUAUACUGUAGAGCUUGGGAGUCAGACUACGAGUGAUAAGAUCCGUGGUCAAAAGGGAAACAGCCCAGACCACCAGCUAAGGUCCCCAAUGUCGUACUAAGUGGAAAAGGAUGUGGGGUCUCUAAAACAACCAGGAUGUUGGCUUAGAAGCAGCCACCAUUUAAAGAGUGCGUAAUAGCUCACUGGUCGAGAGACCCUGCGCCGAAGAUUACCGGGGCUAAAGUACGAAACCGAAGCUGUGGCUACGACGUAAGUCGUGGGGUAGGGGAGCGUUCUGUGAGGGCUGAAGUCGUUCUGUAAGGAACGGUGGACUUCACAGAAGUGAGAAUGUUGGUAUGAGUAGCGAAAAGAAUGGUGAGAAUCCAUUCCACCGAAAGCAUAAGGAUUCCUGGGCAACGAUCGUCGUCCCAGGGUAAGUCGGGACCUAAUCCGAGGCAUGGAGCGUAGGAGAUGGACAACUGGCAGAUAUUCCAGUACCGGUAAUGAUUGUUUGAGCGAUGGAGUGACACAGGAGGGCAGGCAGGCAGGAGAUUGGUUGUUCCUGUACAAGCGUGUAGGAUGGGACGUAGGCAAAUCCGCGUCCUGUGAGUCUGAGGCGUGAUGUGGAGGUUCCGGAAACGGAACUGAAGCUGCUGACCCCACACUGUCGAGAAAAGCUUCUAGUUAGAGAAUUACCGCCCGUACCGUAAACCGACACAGGUAUGCGGGGAGAGAAUCCUAAGGUGCGCGGGAGAACCCUCGUUAAGGAACUCGGCAAAAUGUACCCGUAACUUCGGGAUAAGGGUAGCCGCUGUUGUGAAGUCUGCACAGACGGAGCAUGAGGCGGUCGCAGAGAAGAGGCCCAAGCGACUGUUUACCACAAACACAGGUGCCUGCUAAAGAGAAAUCUGACGUAUAGGUGCUGACACCUGCCCAGUGCCGGAAGGUUAAGGAAGGAUGUCCGGAGCAAUCCAAAGCAUUCGACCGAAGCCCCGGUGAACGGCGGCCGUAACUAUAACGGUCCUAAGGUAGCGAAAUUCCUUGUCGGGUAAG